Eubalaena glacialis (North Atlantic right whale) is the source of this 1133-nucleotide long non-coding RNA. RefSeq lists it as uncharacterized. NCBI's taxonomy places the organism in Eukaryota, Metazoa, Chordata, Mammalia, Artiodactyla, Balaenidae. The record is from RefSeq and is a predicted model, not a curated record. The transcript is spliced from 3 exons.
AGCAGAGGAGGAGUGGGGAGAGAAACAAAGAAGUUCAUUGCAGCAUUAAUGAAGCUGCAGGACUCAACAGGGGCCCAGCAGCACCAGGCAGGACGGGGCUGCAGCCCCGGGAGAGCUGUGCCCACCGUGGUGGUACAGCUGAGCAAACGAGUUCAGUAUCUUUGAACAAAGCCUCCAGAUGGACCUCGGCUGCUGGGGAGGCCAGCCGGCUUUUACGCUGGCACGCAGGGACUUUCCACUAAUUGGAUCCCCAGGGAAGGAGAGCAGCCGCCAUCCCCAGCCACCCCACCCAUCCACUCAUUCAUUCAUUCAUUCAUUCACUCACUGAGAAGCUACAGUGCAGCCGAGGGCGCCCAGCUCGGCUCUGGGGACCCUGGGGUGAACAAGAUAAAGCCCGGCCCAGAGGCAGCUCACCCACCCUCGGGUAGGGCCUGGUCACCACGGUGGAAGAGUCUGGACUUCGUGCGGAGUGCGCUGGGAGCCUGGAGGGUGGGGCCUGCUGCGACCCACUCCCACGACCGUGCACAGCCCUCCCGGCCCUCUCACACCCGCUGGCCUACACAGUCCCCCUUCAGGUGGGAGAGGGGAGAGGCUCUGGUCGGGCCCGGCCCCAGCCUGCCUGCGUCACACUUGGCCUUGUCCCUCGUCUCUGCCCCCCCGCCCCCUGCCAUGCAGCAUCUGAGGUUGCCGCCCUAGGCCGCCUCUGGUUGGUCCCACUGGCUGCUCCGCUGACGAGGGGCACGUACGCUAGGGAUUCUCUGAGGGAAUCACAACCUCACCCCCCGCCCCUGUGAUCCCACUGCUGUCUGCUCACUUUCCUGCCCCAGAAUCCCACCCCCAGGCUUCCAAGACGUGGAUCCAGAGGCCCCUACAGCCAGAGACCUCCGAGGGGGCCAACCCUGAGGGGACACUGAGGACCACUCGGCUAGUUGUUCCCAGAGUCCUGGAGGGGCGCUGUAAAGGGCUCAGGCCAAGGUCAUGGCCAGUGUCCCAGACUGUGGCAUGGAGGCCAGCUUCCAGAGAAGGCCGGGCUCCAGGCCACCUGAUCAAGCAUCUACUUGCCUGAGCGGCAGAGUCCCAGCUUGAGGUCACCUUCACCCCUGACUUAGUGAGUCCCUGCCAUGUGCCAUGCA